Molecule: ribosomal RNA, 253 nt
Filed under: uncultured bacterium
Lineage: Bacteria
Description: partial 16S ribosomal RNA
Rfam family: Bacterial small subunit ribosomal RNA
Source: RNAcentral
UACGGGGGGAGCAAGCGUUGUUCGGAUUUACUGGGCGUAAAGGGCGCGUAGGCGGCCCUCCUAGUCGCGUGUGAAAGCCCCGGGCUCAACCUGGGAAUUGCGCGCGAAACGGGGGGGCUUGAGUUCGGGAGAGGAGCGUGGAAUUCCCAGUGUAGAGGUGAAAUGCGUAGAUAUUGGGAGGAACACCAGUGGCGAAGGCGGCUCACUGGACCGGAACUGACGCUGAGGCGCGAAAGCGUGGGGAGCAAACAGG